GUCCAGGGUAGCCUAGUGAACAUGGUAUCUGCCCGGUAAGCGGAACACUGUGGGUUCGAUUCCCAUCCCUGUACA
RNAcentral lists this transfer RNA (75 nucleotides) under Cordylochernes scorpioides. RNAcentral describes it as "tRNA-Thr". It matches the Rfam family "tRNA". Rfam says of the family: Transfer RNA (tRNA) molecules are approximately 80 nucleotides in length. Lineage: Eukaryota; Metazoa; Arthropoda; Arachnida; Pseudoscorpiones; Chernetidae. The record is from RNAcentral.